Molecule: non-coding RNA, 1435 nt
Organism: Erythranthe guttata (spotted monkey flower)
Lineage: Eukaryota; Viridiplantae; Streptophyta; Magnoliopsida; Lamiales; Phrymaceae
Source: RefSeq, a predicted model, not a curated record
AAGGCUUAAUUCAAUGUUAUUUCUAAAGGCUUGGAUUCCGACUAUAUACCAAAAUUACUAAUUUACCACAUAAAAGCCCAACUUUUAAAGCCCAAAUAAAUACGUAGAAAAGAGUCCAGAAUUUCAAACGGCCUCGUUUAAGGACCCGACUCGUUUGAGACCCGGUUACCCGUUUAUGAAAAUAAAUUACAACCGUCGAUUUCAGUCGUCGCCAAAGGAGUAGCCAUCACUACGCGCCACCGCCCAGCGCCGGUCCUCUCCAUCUCUUCCGCCUGUAUCGCCGUGACUGCAUCCUACACCACCAUCCGUACGCCACUGAUUUCUUCUGAUCAUUCUCUCACUCCUCAAAGCAUUUUCCUGCGGUGCAUUUUCAGAUUCAAGAUUAGGUUAGAUGCUUGCUCUUCGUGAGUUUGUCGAUUCGAAUGGGAGGAUAUUUUGGGGUUGGUUCUUUCUUAUCUUUGGCUCGUUUUCGUUCGUGUUCUUCCUCUACGCCGCUGUCGUAUCGAAACUUCUGCCUCCAUCCGAUAAUUCUGUCAUCCAAGCCAUACAAAAUGACUGGUAUUAUUGCUUCUUGGUGCCCUUGACACUUCCGAUCCUCUUUGUUGCCGUUUAUUUUCAUUGGUUGAGCAUGAAAUUGUUCAAGCAUGCAUGAUUUUUACUUCCAACAGAUAUCAUCUGGCAGCUACCGUGACAAAUGAGUGAUAAGUACGGAGAAGAAGACGAAAGAAGAAGUGGGAUCGUCGCUUCUCUGCAUUUCGGCAAUCAAGACACUCGGAAUUGGUAAACUUGAACUAGAAAAAAUAUAAUUGGGAGUCGGAGGAAGAAGAGGAAAAAUAACAGUGAAAUAACAACUACUUCCUACGAAGAGUGGACGUUAGCAUCAACGACAUACGAAAUUCGUUUUGCACAAGUCACGACCAAAGGGUUGGAGUCGACUACUUCAAUCUCUCUAACACGCCCUAAAAUUUGUCCUCGAACAAUCUUUUCUAGUUUGUAGCAGUGUUUAGUGGCUAGGUCCUUAAGAGAUUCGGAGCUGUUAUCUCCGAUUUUCCAGACAACAAGAUCACACUGUCCUCAAUCGAAAGAGUCCUCUGAAUACCUCACCACGAGUUUCCCCAUUUCGCUCCUCGAAAGGCAUAGCAUCGCAGUUUCAGCACUUACAAAAUCGGCAACGAAGAAAUCACUCUCAUCUCCUCUCACGAAUAUCUGAACGGCAUAGCAUCGCAGUUUCAGCAGUUUUAAGUACUUGGAGUCCACGGAGUUGGGAAAUAUGAUCAAAGCAGCUCAAGGAUUGAAAUGGAUGCAAUCGAGUCUUAUGGUACCUAGUAAUUUUAGGUGGUGUUUGCAAAAACUUAUUUAAAAGCAUAAGUUAGUAAUUGUGUGUUAAGUUGAUAUUAAGUGCUUAAUUCUAAAAGUUGGGGAUGUUUGCAAAAAA